Molecule: long non-coding RNA, 5967 nt
Filed under: Gossypium barbadense (sea-island cotton)
Lineage: Eukaryota; Viridiplantae; Streptophyta; Magnoliopsida; Malvales; Malvaceae
Description: long non-coding RNA (GBAR_LNC018028)
Source: RNAcentral
AAUAGCAGGUUACCAUAUUUUACUUUCUGCUAUUCCACCCAAAGGUCAUUUCUUUUUUCUCAGUCUUGAAGCCUUGGCCUCCUCCUCUCUCCUGCUCGCCGGAUGGUAGUCGUCAUCGCCCCUUCCAGGUAAUGUCCUUCCCCUUUCCUUAAUGCUUCUGUUGCAACCGCAUGAGCAUAGAAGUUUUCUGUUCUAGAGAUAAAACAAAAACUGAUACUGUUAAACUUGGUUUUAAUCUCUUGAAUAUCAUUGAUAAUUGCUCCGAUGACUGAUCUGUCUUGUUCUGAACUUUGACACUUCCUGAUGAUCGUUUUUGAGUCACCUAAUAUUUGUAAAUCUGUGAACCCCAUAGACCUCCCUAACUCUAAGGCUUUUAACCCUGCAUGUGCCUCCGCUGCAAAUGGAGUUGCUCUGUUGUUAUGAAUAACUGAUUUUGUGGCCAAAAUCUCCCCUCCCUCGCCUUGAACAACCAAUCCCGAAGCAGAUCUUGCAUGUUGCUGGUCAAAGGCCGCAUCAAAAUAGACUGAUCUACUCAUUCUGCUCACAUCGGUUUUUAAAUCGCCAUUACCUUCCAAGAUAAGUUUCUUCUCAUCCAUUCCUCUUAGUUCGAGAAUAAAGUCUGAAAUUUUAUAAGAGAUAUCUUAACUGGUUGAUUGUUUAUUUUCAUAAACUAAUCUAUUCCUGCUUGUCCAGAUGAACCAAAGCCCACAACAAAAAAGACGACACUGUUCAUUAGAUCCACGACAGAAAACCCAAGUAAGCCAGUCCCAAAAAGUAUUUGCAGUACUAUUAAAGAUUCAUGGUAACUGUAUGAGUCUCCACACUUCUUUUGUUGUAGGACAUUUGCGAAAAAGAUGGUUGCAAUCCUCCUCUUCCUGGUUGCAACGGGGACAUCGAGCAUUUUCAACUGUUCUCUUAAUCUUUAGAUUCGCAAAAUUAGGGAUAUAAUUCCAAGAAAUACCCCAUACUGUAAUUUUAAUUUUCGGGGGGAUUUGUAAGCUCCAUAAUUUUUUGUAAAAAGCUUUAGUCUCGGUUUAUAAAAUAAUAGGAUUUUGAAUACCCUCUUGUAAUAGUUUAUAGGCGCUUCGAACCGAAAAAUUACCAGAAGGCUCUCCUCUCCAGACUUGGAAAUCUUCACUUGCUGACAUUGCCAAAGGGAUCUGCAAAAUCUUCUUAGCAACUUCCGCAUUGAAGGUAUUGAAAAUUACUUCUUCUUUCCACUUUCUGUUUACUGUAUCAAUCAGUUCUGAAACUAAUGUAAAAUUUCCAACUCUCUGAUGAUUAUGUAAUCUAUCUUCUUCACUGCCGGAAAUCCAGAGGUCCUCCCAAAUUGAAAUACGAUCCCCUUUGCCAAUCCUCCAACACAGACCUUUUUCCAGAAUUCCUUUUGCCGACCAGAUACUCUUCCAGGUAAGCGAAGGUAAGUUACCUAAUGGAGCAUUUAGAAAACUCGCGUUCGGAUAGUACUUAGCUUUUAACACUCGGGCUAAUAAUGAAUCUGGAAAAUUAAUAAGGCGCCAGCCCUGUUUAGCUAAUAACGCAAUAUUAAAUUUAUCAAGUUUUCUAAAACCAAGACCCCCUACUUCUUUCAUAUCACACACCUCCUUCCAUGUACACCAAUGAAUGCCCUUCCUUCCCCGAUUUUCCCCCACCAGAAUCUUGCUAUUAUUCCUUCCAAAUCGUUACAAAGAGAUUUAGGAAGUAAGAAGCAUGCCAUAGAAUAGGUUGGAAUUGAUUGUAAAACUGCCUUGAUAAAAACCUCUUUACCUCCCUGGGACAGAUACUUGACACUCCAAUUGUCUAUUCUUUGUUUUAAUCUAUCCUUCAAAUUUUGAAAAGCUGCUUUCCUUCCUAUCCCCACUAAAUUUGGAAGUCCUAAGUAUCUUUCUGGAUUAUUCGAGCUUUGCACCCCAAGCAUCCGAACAAUUACCCUUCUUGCAUCCUCCUGCGUAUUUGCACUGAAAAAAAAUUGAAGAUUUGUUAAAAUUAACACGUUGACCCGAGCUUUGCUCAUACUCCUUUAAGAUAUUCUUCAAUGUAGCAGCUCCUCUUUCUGUAGCUUCUCCAAACAUAAUGCAGUCGUCAGCAAAUAACAAAUGAGAAAUCUGCGGGCCAUUUCUGCUCACCUUCACUCCUCGAAAUGAGUAGCCCUCCAUUUCUUGUCUUAGGAGACUAGAAAGUCCUUCUCCACAAAACAAAAAUAAAAAUGGGCUCAAAAGGUCUCCUUGUCUAAGGCCUCUAGAUGGACAAAAUCUUUCUCCAAUAAUCCCAUUAAGAAUCACUGAGUAAGAUACUGUUGAAACACAUUUCAUCACCAUGUCGACCCACUCCGAAUCGAAGCCCAAUUUCUUCAUUACUUUUUCAACAAAAUCCCAUUCCACCCUGUCAUAUGCCUUAACACAUAUCUAAUUUUACUGCCAUAAACCCUUUUUUCCCCAACCUUUUAUUCUUCAAAGAGUGAAGAAUUUCAUAGGCUAAAAGAAUAUUAUCACCAAUAAGCCUCCCAGGGACAAAAGCAUUUUAAGCUGAAUCAAUAUAUCUAUUCAUCACCAACUGGAGACGAUUCGCAAUAACCUUUGCUACCAAUUUAUAAAGCACAUUGCAUAAACUAAUUGGUCGAAAGUUGGUAAUAUUCAAAGGCUUUGGAAUUUUGGGAAUUAAAAUUAUAUUCGUUUUGUUAAUUGUACUGAUAUCCAUACCUCCAGUCAGUAGUGUAAGACAAAAUGAUGUAACUUCAUCUCCAAUGAUUGACCAGCACUUUUGGUAAAAAAGAGCCGGAAGUCCAUCCUCCCCUGGAGCUUUUGUAGGGCCAAAUUCAACCAAUGCCGCACGUAUCUCUUCUCUUGUGUACCUUGCCUUCAAUUUCAGAUUAUCCUCCUCAAAGAUGCACUGCUUAAUUCCUGCCAAACUUUUAUCAUUAUUCCCCCUUCUCCCUUUCGAAAACAACUUAUGGAAAUACAUUCUGGUGAGAUCCUCCAUUUCUGAAAAAUCUUCUGUUUCCUCUCCAUCUUCUGAUUACAAUCUGUUAAUAAAAUUUCUUUGUCGUUUUUGAGUUGCCUGUUUAUGGAAAAAUGCUGUAUUCUUGUCCCCAAAUUUCAGCCAAUUAACCCUCGCCCUUUGCUCCCAAUAACGCUCGUCUUUCUCAAUCUCAAAAUUAAGCUGGAUUUUUGUGUCAAUGAGCUCCAGUAGGGUGUCAUCGUUUCUAUCUUUCUCCUCUAGAUUCUCCAGUUUUAAGGUUAACGCCCGUUUCUUUCUUUUCCUACUGUCAUGUAUUUUAUCAGCCCACUUUUGAAGUCUCCUUUUCAAACUUUCCAAUUUGCUCAACAAAUCACCUUUAGCAGUAUUCCAAAUGCUUGCAACUUCAGAGUAAAAAUUUUCCUCCAGAACCCACCAUGCUUCAAAUUUGAAUACUCUCUCAGUUCUUCUAUUCUCUUCUCGCUUAGUAGUAAUGAACAAUGGACAAUGAUCUGAAAAAGAGUAAGACAUAUGUCUUAUUUGAAAAUCUGGGAAUGUUGAAAUCCACUCUUCCGUAGCCACCCCCUAUCUAAUCGUUCUCGAAUAUUUGUUUCAGACAGGUUUCCUCUUUCCCAUGUGAACCAUUUACCAGCAAAACCCAAAUCCCUAAGAUUGCAAUCAUCUAAUACCGUUCUGAAUGCCUCAAUUCUCCUUUCCUCUCGAGGUAGCCCCCCCUUUUUUCAAAUCCAUACAAAAUUUCAUUAAAAUCCCCACAAACCAUCCAAGGUAAAUCCCCUGCACUACGUAACUGUCUCAGCAAAUUCCAAGAUUCUUCCUUAUUCGAGUAGGGAGAACCGUAAAAACCAGUAAGUCUACAAUUCAUACCCCAUUCAGUAUCCUCAAUUUGCACAUCAAUAUGGCUUUUUGAAUAACUUUGAAGUCUAAUACUAAGAUCCUCACGCCAAGCCAAGCACAAUCCGCCUCGAGAACCUGUCGCAUCCACUUCAAUUCCAUUAAGGAAGCCACACCUUCUUCUAAUUCGUUCCAUCCUCCUUCUAUCAACCUUUAUCUCCAUAAAGAAGACUAAAUGGGGAUUGUAUAACCUCAGCCAGUGCUGAAGUCAAUGAACUGUCCGUGGGUUCCCCAAACCCCGGACGUUCCAGCUUAAGAUUUUCAUUGUAGUCAGUCGGCUUGCCUCCUGGCAGCCGCCGAUAUAACAAUAUUCCCAUCUCCUACUCUUCUAUUCCGUAGAACCAGAGGGUUACUCUCCUCAUUAGCAAAAUCGUCUUCACUCUCCCCCCUUGCUCUCUUCUUUCCUUCUUCCGCAAUUAACACCCUGUCCUGCAUAUCAUGAUCCAUCAUAAGAGUAUCACCAUAUUUGCAAAUCGACGAUUGUCCUCCCAGAUUAAAUCCGAGAAUUGGAUCUAUAUUUUUGUUCUGUCCUAGAAUUCUCCCUGGAUAUCUUGUACUAUGCCCUAAUACCGGAGUCUUCCCUUUAUUACCUCUCCAUUCUUCUUCUUCUUCCCGUUGCCAAACACUAUUCAUUGCUAAAGCUCUUCUAGAUUGAGCUCUUAACGAUAAAUCCCACCCCAUCUCCUCAACGUCCGUACCUAAAGCCAUCUUCGCUUCGCAAAACGAAUCACUAUGCCCCAGUCGUCCACAAUAAAAACAGAAGAGAGAUAAUCGUUCAUAUUUGAAUCAAACAUAUAAACUUGUGCCAAAAAAUAAGAUCUGUUUCUUUCGUUUCAGAGGCAAUCGUACAUCAAUUAGGACUCUGAUUCUCAUAAAAUUUUGAUUUUCUUUACCCAAAUUUGACCCAUCAUACUCCAUGAAAGAGCCUAUAAAAUUCCCCAACUGAGUUGCCAACCUUUCUGAGAAAAAUCCUGCAGGAAUGUCAUGAAUCUGAAUCCAAAAAGGAAUGUAUAUUAAAGGAACAAUUACUGGGUCCUCCAUCAAUUGCAGCUUAUGUAGAAGCAGUAGAUGAUUAUUAAAAGUCCAUGGGGACCCCUUCAACACCCUCUCCAUAUCCAUAGCGUGAAAAAACUGAAACAAGUAUCUUUUCCCCCUAGAUCUCGAAUAUUAACCCCUCGGACUGGAUGCCAAAGAUUGGCCAUUGUGCUCUUCAUUGCUGGAAAACUAAUAAUACUGGCAGUUAGAAAACACCCAACUAAUUUAAAAAUCUUUACCUCUGUUUCUGCUUGUGUCUCAAAUUGAAACUGUAAGAUUUGUUCUUCCUCCUCAGUAAUUGUCAGACCAGCAAAUUCUGUCUCCCUGGUUGCAGAAGAAUGCGAUCCAAGAACUUCGUUUUGUAGACGCCAAAAUAAAUCAAAAGAAAAACCUGACUGCCGCCGCUAAAUCAAAGAAACUUAACACCACAAAACCUAAAACCUACCAGAGAGGCAGACAGAGACGUGCCAAAUAGGCAGACUUUUUAUUAACCGUAGUUCCUAAUUUGCAAUUCUUUUUAUUUUUAGUGCUUUAAAUAAGAACUUUUGAAAGUCAAGUGACCAAUUAUAUAGUUUACCCUUGUUUGAAAAAUGGUAAAAUAGUGAAUAUCUAUAUCAACAUCGUUUAAAUUAAACUUUCAAGAAAUGUUUUAAAAACGUGUGAAAAAAAUUGAAUCUGUUUAAAACAAAUGUUUUAAACUAAAACUCUUUAAAAUUUUAAAUACAUUUUUAUAAAUUAAAAAAAAUGCUAAAAUCAUAUAUAUAUACACACAUAUAUAUAAGUGGUUUAAAAUUGUUUAAACAAUUAAACCUGUUUCAAUUGAAAAUGUAAAAGCUUUAAUUAAAUUUUUAAAAAAAUUUAAAGGGUUAUUUUUUUAUAAAAAAGUAAAACUAUUAAAAUAAGUUAUUUUAAAUUUUUCAAUAUUUUAAAAUACGUUUAGUUAAAUGUUUAAAAAAUUAAAUUAAAAUAAAUUUAUGAGGGUCCUUUAUAUUCCCUAAAAAAGUUUUUUUACAUUAAAUUUUUUAAAAUAAUUCUAAUAAACUAUUUUAAAAAAUAAGUCUAAAU